This 422-nucleotide ribosomal RNA is filed under the name uncultured bacterium. Its description in RNAcentral is "bacterial SSU rRNA". It matches the Rfam family "Bacterial small subunit ribosomal RNA", at positions 355 to 774 of the family's 1533-position model. The record is from RNAcentral.
UGGGGAAUUUUGGACAAUGGGCGCAAGCCUGAUCCAGCCAUGCCGCGUGCAGGAUGAAGCAUCUAUGGUGUGUAAACUGCUUUUGUACGGGAAGAAACCACCCCUCGUGAGGGGUAUUGACGGUACCGUAAGAAUAAGGAUCGGCUAACUCCGUGCCAGCAGCCGCGGUAAUACGGAGGAUCCGAGCGUUAUCCGGAAUCAUUGGGUUUAAAGGGUCCGUAGGCGGUUUAAUAAGUCAGUGGUGAAAGCCCAUCGCUCAACGAUGGAACGGCCAUUGAUACUGUUAGACCUGAAUUACAAGGAAGUAACUAGAAUAUGUAGUGUAGCGGUGAAAUGCUUAGAUAUUACAUGGAAUACCAAUGGCGAAGGCAGGUUACUACUUGUGGAUUGACGCUGAUGGACGAAAGCGUGGGGAGCGAACA